This 462-nucleotide long non-coding RNA is filed under the name Mustela putorius furo (domestic ferret). RNAcentral's name for it is "lncRNA (ENSMPUG00000027978.1)". Lineage: Eukaryota; Metazoa; Chordata; Mammalia; Carnivora; Mustelidae. The record is from RNAcentral.
CCCAUUUAGGAGCACUCCAAAGUGACCCAAAGAAUAAAUUAUAGAAAACUUUCUUCUUCCUUUAGUUCAAAGAAGAAAGAAGACAACAAAGGUGAAGAAUGAACAGGAGGAAGUAGAGGAGAAGCCAUCUCAAGCAGCUGGGCGAUCACCUGGACACAAAGGAACACUCAUUUAUUAAGGCAGUUUCUAAACAGAAGAAAAAAUACCAUAUCCACAUCUGGUAGUCUAUUAGAAAAUGUACUAUGGUUGAAAAUAGUUAAUGAACACUCUUGGAACAUGUAUAUUUAAGGAGAAUCAACUUAAUUACCUUUGUAUAACUUAAUUAUACAGUUAAUUAAUGUUAAUCAGUCAAUGAAGUAUUUAUAAUUUACUGCACAUACUUGCUAUUAUAUACCACUACACCUGGAGAUUUCUUUUAAACUAAGUCUGCCUAUAGAUGUCUAUAAAUGAAAACAAGUAAAA